GACGAACGCUGGCGGCGUGCUUAACACAUGCAAGUCGAACGGAAAGGCCCUGCUUGCAGGGUACUCGAGUGGUGUACGGGUGAGUAACACGUGGGUGAUCUGCCCUGCACUUCGGGAUAAGCCUGGGAAACUGGGUCUAAUACCGGAUAGGAGCCAUUUUUAGUGUGAUGGUUGGAAAGAUUUUUCGGUGUAGGAUGAGCUCGCGGCCUAUCAGCUUGUUGGUGGGGUAAUGGCCUACCAAGGCGGCGACGGGUAGCUGGCCUGAGAGGGUGGACGGCCACAUUGGGACUGAGAUACGGCCCAGACUCCUACGGGAGGCAGCAGUGGGGAAGAUUGCACAAUGGGCGCAAGCCUGAUGCAGCGACGCCGCGUGGGGGAUGACGGCCUUCGGGUUGUAAACUCCUUUCGCUAGGGACGAAGCUUUUUGUGACGGUACCUAGAUAAGAAGCACCGGCUAACUACGUG
Molecule: ribosomal RNA, 465 nt
Filed under: uncultured bacterium
Lineage: Bacteria
Description: partial 16S ribosomal RNA
Rfam family: Bacterial small subunit ribosomal RNA
Source: RNAcentral